Molecule: ribosomal RNA, 2922 nt
Filed under: Staphylococcus aureus
Lineage: Bacteria; Bacillati; Bacillota; Bacilli; Caryophanales; Staphylococcaceae
Description: bacterial LSU rRNA
Rfam family: Bacterial large subunit ribosomal RNA
Source: RNAcentral
UUAAGUUAUUAAGGGCGCACGGUGGAUGCCUUGGCACUAGAAGCCGAUGAAGGACGUUACUAACGACGAUAUGCUUUGGGGAGCUGUAAGUAAGCUUUGAUCCAGAGAUUUCCGAAUGGGGAAACCCAGCAUGAGUUAUGUCAUGUUAUCGAUAUGUGAAUACAUAGCAUAUCAGAAGGCACACCCGGAGAACUGAAACAUCUUAGUACCCGGAGGAAGAGAAAGAAAAUUCGAUUCCCUUAGUAGCGGCGAGCGAAACGGGAAGAGCCCAAACCAACAAGCUUGCUUGUUGGGGUUGUAGGACACUCUAUACGGAGUUACAAAGGACGACAUUAGACGAAUCAUCUGGAAAGAUGAAUCAAAGAAGGUAAUAAUCCUGUAGUCGAAAAUGUUGUCUCUCUUGAGUGGAUCCUGAGUACGACGGAGCACGUGAAAUUCCGUCGGAAUCUGGGAGGACCAUCUCCUAAGGCUAAAUACUCUCUAGUGACCGAUAGUGAACCAGUACCGUGAGGGAAAGGUGAAAAGCACCCCGGAAGGGGAGUGAAAUAGAACCUGAAACCGUGUGCUUACAAGUAGUCAGAGCCCGUUAAUGGGUGAUGGCGUGCCUUUUGUAGAAUGAACCGGCGAGUUACGAUUUGAUGCAAGGUUAAGCAGUAAAUGUGGAGCCGUAGCGAAAGCGAGUCUGAAUAGGGCGUUUAGUAUUUGGUCGUAGACCCGAAACCAGGUGAUCUACCCUUGGUCAGGUUGAAGUUCAGGUAACACUGAAUGGAGGACCGAACCGACUUACGUUGAAAAGUGAGCGGAUGAACUGAGGGUAGCGGAGAAAUUCCAAUCGAACCUGGAGAUAGCUGGUUCUCUCCGAAAUAGCUUUAGGGCUAGCCUCAAGUGAUGAUUAUUGGAGGUAGAGCACUGUUUGGACGAGGGGCCCCUCUCGGGUUACCGAAUUCAGACAAACUCCGAAUGCCAAUUAAUUUAACUUGGGAGUCAGAACAUGGGUGAUAAGGUCCGUGUUCGAAAGGGAAACAGCCCAGACCACCAGCUAAGGUCCCAAAAUAUAUGUUAAGUGGAAAAGGAUGUGGCGUUGCCCAGACAACUAGGAUGUUGGCUUAGAAGCAGCCAUCAUUUAAAGAGUGCGUAAUAGCUCACUAGUCGAGUGACACUGCGCCGAAAAUGUACCGGGGCUAAACAUAUUACCGAAGCUGUGGAUUGUCCUUUGGACAAUGGUAGGAGAGCGUUCUAAGGGCGUUGAAGCAUGAUCGUAAGGACAUGUGGAGCGCUUAGAAGUGAGAAUGCCGGUGUGAGUAGCGAAAGACGGGUGAGAAUCCCGUCCACCGAUUGACUAAGGUUUCCAGAGGAAGGCUCGUCCGCUCUGGGUUAGUCGGGUCCUAAGCUGAGGCCGACAGGCGUAGGCGAUGGAUAACAGGUUGAUAUUCCUGUACCACCUAUAAUCGUUUUAAUCGAUGGGGGGACGCAGUAGGAUAGGCGAAGCGUGCGAUUGGAUUGCACGUCUAAGCAGUAAGGCUGAGUAUUAGGCAAAUCCGGUACUCGUUAAGGCUGAGCUGUGAUGGGGAGAAGACAUUGAGUCUUCGAGUCGUUGAUUUCACACUGCCGAGAAAAGCCUCUAGAUAGAAAAUAGGUGCCCGUACCGCAAACCGACACAGGUAGUCAAGAUGAGAAUUCUAAGGUGAGCGAGCGAACUCUCGUUAAGGAACUCGGCAAAAUGACCCCGUAACUUCGGGAGAAGGGGUGCUCUUUAGGGUUAACGCCCAGAGGAGCCGCAGUGAAUAGGCCCAAGCGACUGUUUAUCAAAAACACAGGUCUCUGCUAAACCGUAAGGUGAUGUAUAGGGGCUGACGCCUGCCCGGUGCUGGAAGGUUAAGAGGAGUGGUUAGCUUCUGCGAAGCUACGAAUCGAAGCCCCAGUAAACGGCGGCCGUAACUAUAACGGUCCUAAGGUAGCGAAAUUCCUUGUCGGGUAAGUUCCGACCCGCACGAAAGGCGUAACGAUUUGGGCACUGUCUCAACGAGAGACUCGGUGAAAUCAUAGUACCUGUGAAGAUGCAGGUUACCCGCGACAGGACGGAAAGACCCCGUGGAGCUUUACUGUAGCCUGAUAUUGAAAUUCGGCACAGCUUGUACAGGAUAGGUAGGAGCCUUUGAAACGUGAGCGCUAGCUUACGUGGAGGCGCUGGUGGGAUACUACCCUAGCUGUGUUGGCUUUCUAACCCGCACCACUUAUCGUGGUGGGAGACAGUGUCAGGCGGGCAGUUUGACUGGGGCGGUCGCCUCCUAAAAGGUAACGGAGGCGCUCAAAGGUUCCCUCAGAAUGGUUGGAAAUCAUUCAUAGAGUGUAAAGGCAUAAGGGAGCUUGACUGCGAGACCUACAAGUCGAGCAGGGUCGAAAGACGGACUUAGUGAUCCGGUGGUUCCGCAUGGAAGGGCCAUCGCUCAACGGAUAAAAGCUACCCCGGGGAUAACAGGCUUAUCUCCCCCAAGAGUUCACAUCGACGGGGAGGUUUUGGCACCUCGAUGUCGGCUCAUCGCAUCCUGGGGCUGUAGUCGGUCCCAAGGGUUGGGCUGUUCGCCCAUUAAAGCGGUACGCGAGCUGGGUUCAGAACGUCGUGAGACAGUUCGGUCCCUAUCCGUCGUGGGCGUAGGAAAUUUGAGAGGAGCUGUCCUUAGUACGAGAGGACCGGGAUGGACAUACCUCUGGUGUACCAGUUGUCGUGCCAACGGCAUAGCUGGGUAGCUAUGUGUGGACGGGAUAAGUGCUGAAAGCAUCUAAGCAUGAAGCCCCCCUCAAGAUGAGAUUUCCCAACUUCGGUUAUAAGAUCCCUCAAAGAUGAUGAGGUUAAUAGGUUCGAGGUGGAAGCAUGGUGACAUGUGGAGCUGACGAAUACUAAUCGAUCGAAGACUUAAUCAA